CCUACGGGAGGCAGCAGUAAGGAAUAUUGGACAAUGGUCGCAAGACUGAUCCAGCCAUGCCGCGUGCAGGAUGACAGCCCUAUGGGUCGUAAACUGCUUUUGUGCGAGAAAAAACCCCUCUACGUGUAGAGGGCUGAUUGUAUCGUAAGAAUAAGGAUCGGCUAACUCCGUGCCAGCAGCCGCGGUAAUACGGAGGAUCCAAGCGUUAUCCGGAUUCAUUGGGUUUAAAGGGUGCGUAGGCGGAAUGAUAAGUCAGUGGUGAAAGCCUGCAGCUUAACUGCAGAACUGCCAUUGAUACUGUCAAUCUUGAGUACAUUUGAUGUGGGCGGAAUGUGUCAUGUAGCGGUGAAAUGCUUAGAUAUGACACAGAACACCGAUUGCGAAGGCAGCUCACAAAACUGUAACUGACGCUGAGGCACGAAAGCGUGGGUAUCAAACAGGAUUAGAUACCCUGGUAGUCCACGCUGUAAACUAUGAUUACUCGAUGUUUGCGAUACACUGUAAGCGUCUAAGCGAAAGCGAUAAGUAAUCCACCUGGGGAGUACGNUCGCAAGAGUUGAAACUUCAAAUUGGAAUUGACCGGGNNGNGNGAGCGACGACGACACCGGAAGGGAAGUAAG
This 620-nucleotide ribosomal RNA is filed under the name uncultured bacterium. Its description in RNAcentral is "bacterial SSU rRNA". It matches the Rfam family "Bacterial small subunit ribosomal RNA", at positions 338 to 960 of the family's 1533-position model. The record is from RNAcentral.